UAGGAGAGGAUGCUGGAUUCACUAGAACUGGGGUUACAAAUGAUUGAGAAAGAGCUACCACGUGGGUGCUCUGAACCAAACCCAGGUUCUCUACAAGUGCUCCUAACCUCUCAGGCGUCUCUCCUAAUAUCAACAUUUCUGAUGGAGGAGAUCUAAGAGAAUAUGGGCUUUGGUUGAUCUUCAUGGGCCAAACUACGGAAGAAAACUACCCAGACUUCCCACAGUACUUCGUAAUUUCAUCUUUUCCUGAACUCUCCGAGCAUUUCCUUCUAAAGAGUGAAUGUCUUCUUUAAAAUCCUACCAUGAAAUUCUUAUCCCUCCAAGGAGAUUGCUGUGUAAACUUUGUGUAAUAAGAAGCAAUUAAAAUGUCUGUGUAGAUUCA
This is a long non-coding RNA of Peromyscus eremicus (cactus mouse), 382 nucleotides long. RefSeq lists it as uncharacterized. The record is from RefSeq and is a predicted model, not a curated record. NCBI's taxonomy places the organism in Eukaryota, Metazoa, Chordata, Mammalia, Rodentia, Cricetidae. The transcript has 2 exons.